RNAcentral lists this long non-coding RNA (226 nucleotides) under Elaeis guineensis (African oil palm). RNAcentral's name for it is "long non-coding RNA (EGUI_LNC024986)". The record is from RNAcentral. Lineage: Eukaryota; Viridiplantae; Streptophyta; Magnoliopsida; Arecales; Arecaceae.
CUCCGCCCGGACUCCUACUGGAGCCGGACUUCGCACCUGACUUUAAUUGCAGGAAGACUCCGUCCGGACUCCCACAGGAGCCGAACUACGCUCCGACUUCGCCCACGGGAGCCAAACUCCCGUAGCCUCCCCAAGAACGGAGGAAAAAUUCCAAGCAAAAAAGAAAAAGGAAGGCGAUGGGUCACGUCAACGACGAAUGAAAAACAAACAGCGUCCAAGAUGCAGG